AACUCCGACUCCGGAGGAGAGGCCUCAUCCUCCCGAACACGAUAAUCACAGAAUUCAAACCCUUGCGGGCACUGGACACCAGUUCUUAAGAAGACUUGUUGAGACCAACCGAAUUGCCCAUGAGGGGCAGACAAUUACCCCUGACCUCCCACCCCACCAGGAGAGGUGGUAGCCACUGAGCUUUAUGCUUUUAUUUGUU
Molecule: long non-coding RNA, 199 nt
Filed under: Coffea arabica (coffee)
Lineage: Eukaryota; Viridiplantae; Streptophyta; Magnoliopsida; Gentianales; Rubiaceae
Description: long non-coding RNA (CARA_LNC002775)
Source: RNAcentral